Molecule: ribosomal RNA, 224 nt
Filed under: uncultured Lactobacillus sp.
Lineage: Bacteria; Bacillati; Bacillota; Bacilli; Lactobacillales; Lactobacillaceae
Description: partial 16S ribosomal RNA
Rfam family: Bacterial small subunit ribosomal RNA
Source: RNAcentral
UCGGGAUAACACCUGGAAACAGAUGCUAAUACCGGAUAACAACAGAUGAUGCCUAUCAACUGUUUAAAAGAUGGUUCUGCUAUCACUCUUGGAUGGACCUGCGGUGCAUUAGCUAGUUGGUAGGGUAACGGCCUACCAAGGCGAUGAUGCAUAGCCGAGUUGAGAGACUGAUCGGCCACAUUGGGACUGAGAUACGGCCCAGACUCCUACGGGAGGCAGCAGGC